UACGUAGGUGGCAAGCGUUGUCCGGAAUCAUUGGGCGUAAAGCGCGUGUAGGCGGCCCGGUAAGUCCGCUGUGAAAGUCGGGGGCUCAACCCUCGAAUGCCGGUGGAUACUGUCGGGCUAGAGUGCGGGAGAGGCGAGUGGAAUUCCUGGUGUAGCGGUGAAAUGCGCAGAUAUCAGGAGGAACACCGGUGGCGAAAGCGGCGCACUGGACCACAUCUGACGCUGAGGCGCGAAAGCUAGGGGAGCAAACAGG
This 253-nucleotide ribosomal RNA is filed under the name uncultured bacterium. RNAcentral describes it as "partial 16S ribosomal RNA". It matches the Rfam family "Bacterial small subunit ribosomal RNA", at positions 524 to 776 of the family's 1533-position model. The record is from RNAcentral.